Molecule: ribosomal RNA, 868 nt
Filed under: uncultured archaeon
Lineage: Archaea
Description: bacterial SSU rRNA
Rfam family: Archaeal small subunit ribosomal RNA
Source: RNAcentral
CUCCGGUUGACCUUUAAGGACCCGACUGCUAUCAGAGUGGGACUAAGCCAUGUUAGUCAACGUAGCAAUACGUGGCAUACGGCUCAGUAACACGUAGUCAACAUGCCCAGGGGACGAGGAUAACCUCGGGAAACUGAGGAUAAACCUCGAUAGGCCAUGAUUUCUGGAAUGAUUCUUGGCUCAAACCUAUAUGGCCCCUGGAUUGGACUGCGGCCGAUCAGGCUGUUGGUGAGGUAAUGGCCCACCAAACCUAUUACCGGUACGGGCUCUGAGAGGAGGAGCCCGGAGAUGGGCACUGAGACAAGGGCCCAGGCCCUAUGGGGCGCAGCAGGCGCGAAACCUCUGCAAUAGGCGAAAGCUUGACAGGGUUACUCUGAGUGAUUUCCGCUAAGGGAAUCUUUUGGCACCUCUAAAAAUGGUGCAGAAUAAGGGGUGGGCAAGUCUGGUGUCAGCCGCCGCGGUAAUACCAGCACCCCGAGUGGUCGGGACGAUUAUUGGGCCUAAAGCAUCCGUAGCCGGUCCUGCAAGUCUUCCGUUAAAUCCAGCUGCUCAACAGAUGGGCUGCGGGAGAUACUACAGGGCUAGGAGGCGGGAGAGGCAAGCGGUACUUUAUGGGUAGGGGUAAAAUCCGCUGAUCCAUAGAAGACCACCAGUGGCGAAGGCGGCUUGCCAGAACGCGCUCGACGGUGAGGGAUGAAAGCUGGGGGAGCAAACCGGAUUAGAUACCCGGGUAGUCCCAGCUGUAAACGAUGCAGACUCGGUGAUGGGUUGGCCUCGCGCCUGCCCAGUGCCGCAGGGAAGCCGUUAAGUCUUCCAAGUGGGGAGUACGGUCGCAAGACUGAAACUUAAACCUUUUAAGGGGGGAGCA